ACCGACACAGGUGAUCAGGUAGAGAAUACUAAGGCGAUCGAGAGAAUCAUGGUUAAGGAACUCGGCAAAAUGCCCCCGUAACUUCGGGAGAAGGGGGACCGCAUACUGUGACCAUCCUUUGCGGUUGGUAGCGGUGUGUGGUCGCAGAGAAUAGAGGGAAGCGACUGUUUAUCAAAAACACAGGUCCAUGCGAAGACGUUGAAGUUGAUGUAUAUGGACUGACGCCUGCCCGGUGCUGGAAGGUUAAGAGGACCGGUUAGUCAACUUUGUUGGCGAAGCUGAGAAUUUAAGCCCCAGUAAACGGCGGUGGUAACUAUAACCAUCCUAAGGUAGCGAAAUUCCUUGUCGGGUAAGUUCCGACCUGCACGAAUGGCGUAACGAUGGCCACACUGUCUCCUCCUGAGACUCAGCGAAGUUGAAAUGUUUGUGAUGAUGCAAUCUCCCCGCGGAAAGACGGAAAGACCCCAUGAACCUUUACUGUAGCUUUGUAUUGGACUUUGAACAGAUCUGUGUAGGAUAGGUGGGAGGCUUUGAAGUGAGGACGCUAGUUCUCAUGGAGCCAACGUUGAAAUACCACCCUGGUGUGUUUGAGGUUCUAACCUAGGUCCAUUAUCUGGAUCGGGGACAGUGCAUGGUAGGCAGUUUGACUGGGGCGGUCUCCUCCCAAAGAGUAACGGAGGAGUGCGAAGGUAACCUCAGCGCGGUCGGAAAUCGCGCAGUGAGUGCAUAGGCAUAAGGUUGCUUGACUGCAAGACAAACAAGUCGAGCAGGUACGAAAGUAGGUCUAAGUGAUCCGGUGGUUCUGUAUGGAAGGGCCAUCGCUCAACGGAUAAAAGGUACUCCGGGGAUAACAGGCUGAUUCC
RNAcentral lists this ribosomal RNA (863 nucleotides) under Anophryoides haemophila. RNAcentral describes it as "partial Bacterial large subunit ribosomal RNA". It matches the Rfam family "Bacterial large subunit ribosomal RNA", at positions 1653 to 2489 of the family's 2925-position model. The record is from RNAcentral. Lineage: Eukaryota; Ciliophora; Oligohymenophorea; Philasterida; Glauconematidae.